Molecule: long non-coding RNA, 480 nt
Filed under: Marmota monax (woodchuck)
Lineage: Eukaryota; Metazoa; Chordata; Mammalia; Rodentia; Sciuridae
Source: RNAcentral
GCAACACCCCAAAAUGAAACCUGGUGCUCAUACAGUCUCCCAUUCUCUUUCCCUCCAGCCCUAAGUAACCACCAAUCUAAGAUUUGCAUUCUCUGGGCAUUUCAUACAAAUGCCAUCUUAUAGCAUGUGUGCUUUUUGGGUCUAGUUUCUUUCAUGAGCAUAUUUUUGAGGUUUGUCCAGGUUGUAGCAUAUAUCAGGACUUCAUUUUAUUUUUCAAUUGAAGUGAAAUCCACACAAUAUUAAAUACAUUCACAAUGUUGGGCAAUCUUUAUUGCCAUCCAUUACCAGGACUAUCUUUAACUUAUAAAAUGGAGACAUUAUCAAUUAAAUAACUUCCCAUCUCCCUUUCUCCCAGCCCCUGGCAACCACCAGUUCUACUUUAUGUUUCUAUUGUCAAGUAGUGUCCCAUUGUAAGUCUAUAAAGCUUUUUUUUUUUUAAUAUCACCAACUGAUGAACAAUUGGACUGUGUCUUCUUUGAC